RNAcentral lists this ribosomal RNA (492 nucleotides) under uncultured bacterium. RNAcentral's name for it is "partial 16S ribosomal RNA". It matches the Rfam family "Bacterial small subunit ribosomal RNA", at positions 29 to 507 of the family's 1533-position model. The record is from RNAcentral.
AGUGAACGCUGGCGGUAGGCCUAACACGUGCAAGUCGAACGGCAGCACAGUAAGAGCUUGCUCUUACGGGUGGCGAGUGGCGGACGGGUGAGGAAUACAUCGGAAUCUACUUUUUCGUGGGGGAUAACGUAGGGAAACUUACGCUAAUACCGCAUACGACCUACGGGUGAAAGCAGGGGAUCUUCGGACCUUGCGCGAUUGAAUGAGACGAUGUCGGAUUAGCUAGUUGGCGGGGUAAAGGCCCACCAAGGCGACGAUCCGUAGCUGGUCUGAGAGGAUGAUCAGCCACACUGGAACUGAGACACGGUCCAGACUCCUACGGGAGGCAGCAGUGGGGAAUAUUGGACAAUGGGCGCAAGCCUGAUCCAGCCAUACCGCGUGGGUGAAGAAGGCCUUCGGGUUGUAAAGCCCUUUUGUUGGGAAAGAAAAGCAGCAGGUUAAUACCCCGCUGUUCUGACGGUACCCAAAGAAUAAGCACCGGCUAACUUCGUG